AUAAGCUACCCCACCAAACACAAAGGAAAAUUUGAGGAAGACCAUUUUGUAUAAAGAAGAAAGGGUCUCACUCUGUCACCCAGGCUGGAGUGCAGUGGUCUUGACUCACAGCAACUUCCACCUCCCUACCUCAAGCAAUCUUUUCACCUCAGCCUACCAAGUGGCAGAUGACAUGAUCCUGCAUAUAGCAAAUCAUAAGGAAUUAACUAAAAAACUGUGAGAGUUGGUAAGUUCAGCAGGUUUGCAUGAUAAAACAGUGAAUAUACAAAAUUAAUUUAUAUUCCUAUACACUAUUGUGAAAAUAAAAUUGAUAAAAUGAUUAAAUUUAUAUCUUGUGAAAAAGAAUAAUACAUUCAAUAAUAAAUUUAACAAAAUUAAAGUUAGAUCAAAUGGAAUUUCUAUUUCUAAGGCCUUGAGGAAUCACCAUACUGUCUUCCACAAUGGUUGAACUAAUUCACACUCCCACCAACAGUGUAAAAGUGUUCCUUUUUCUCCACAUCCUCUCCAGCAUCUGUUGUCUCCAGAUUUUUUAAUGAUCGCCAUUCUAACUGGCGUGAGAUGGUAUCUCAAUGUAGUUUUGAUUUGCAUCUCUCUGAUGACCAGU
RNAcentral lists this long non-coding RNA (604 nucleotides) under Callithrix jacchus (white-tufted-ear marmoset). RNAcentral describes it as "lncRNA (ENSCJAG00000083565.1)". The record is from RNAcentral. Lineage: Eukaryota; Metazoa; Chordata; Mammalia; Primates; Cebidae.